GGCGAGUGAAGCGGCAACAGCUCAAAUUUGAAAUCUGGCCCCCCGGGCCCGAGUUGUAAUUUGCAGAGGAUGCUUUUGGCGCGGUCCCCUCCGAGUCCCCUGGAAUGGGGCGCCACAGAGGGUGAGAGCCCCGUAUGGUCGGAGACCAAGCCUUUGUAAAGCUCCCUCGACGAGUCGAGUAGUUUGGGAAUGCUGCUCAAAAUGGGAGGUAAAUUUCUUCUAAAGCUAAAUACUGGCCAGAGACCGAUAGCGCACAAGUAGAGUGAUCGAAAGAUGAAAAGCACUUUGAAAAGAGGGUUAAACAGCACGUGAAAUUGUUGAAAGGGAAGCGCUUGUGACCAGACUUGCGCCGGGCGGAUCAUCCAGCGUUCUCCGCUGGUGCACUCCGUCCGGCUCAGGCCAGCAUCGGUCUCCGGCGGGGGACAAAAGCUCCGGGAACGUGGCCUCUCCUCAGAGGUGUUAUAGCCCGGCUGCAGAAUACCCCGCCUCGGGGACCGAGGACCGCGCCCUCCGGGGCAAGGAUGCUGGCGUAAUGGUCAUCAGCGACCCGUCUUGAAACACGGACCAAGGAGUCGAGCAUUAGGGCGAGUGUAUGGGUGUAAAACCCGCACGCGUAAUGAAAGUGAACGUGGGUGAGAAGCUUUUCUUUCACGAGAAGCCGCAUCAUCGACCGAUCCUGAAGUCUUCGGAUGGAUUUGAGUAGGAGCCUUAACGCUCGGACCCGAAAGAUGGUGAACUAUGCCUGGAUAGGGUGAAGCCAGAGGAAACUCUGGUGGAGGCUCGCAGCGGUUCUGACGUGCAAAUCGAUCGUCAAAUUUGGGC
RNAcentral lists this ribosomal RNA (822 nucleotides) under Pseudohalonectria hampshirensis. RNAcentral describes it as "eukaryotic LSU rRNA". It matches the Rfam family "Eukaryotic large subunit ribosomal RNA", at positions 88 to 916 of the family's 3401-position model. The record is from RNAcentral. Lineage: Eukaryota; Fungi; Ascomycota; Sordariomycetes; Magnaporthales; Ophioceraceae.